GAAAGCCCUGCGGUUUUUCUUCCGGCAUUCUGCACUCUUGCCCUCCACGCGCGGCCAGUGAGCUGCGGUCUUGGGCGAGAGGGAAAGUGAACAAGGCUUCUUCCAGAUCUCACUGGCUAGCGUAGGAAGCAGUAACCACACCUCUGAAACAGGACACACUUGGUGCUAAAGCCAGCGCCAGCACAAGCCCAACAAGCCAAUUCUACUGUGUACAAAGAACUCUUAAAGCUCAAAGAUAAGAAAACAGAAUUUAAGAAUGGGCAAAAGAUCUCAACAAAGAUAUACUGAUGGCAAAAAAGCAUAUGAAAAGACACAACAUCAUAUGUCAUUCAGGAACUGCAAAUCAAAACAAUGAGGCCCCUACACAUCUAUUAAAAUGGCUAAAAUCCAAAACACUGACAAUACCAAACACUGGUAAGGAUGUGGAGAAACAACUCUCAUUUUUUUUGCUGGUGGGAAUGCAAAAUAUGAUAACCACUUGGAAAAACAGCUUGGCAGGUUUUCGGUUUUGGUUUUUUAACAAAGCUUUCCAUAUGAUCCAGCAAUCACACUCCUAGACGUUUACCCAAUUGAGAUGAAAAUUUAUGUCCACACAAAAACCUGUACAAGAAUUAUUUACAGGAGCUUUAUUCCUAACUGCCAAAAACUAGAAGCAACCAAAAUGUCCUUCAAUAGGUGACUGAAUAAACUGUAGUGCAUUCAGACAAUGGAAUAUUAUUCAGUGAUAAAAAGAAAUAAAAUGAGCUAUCAAGCCAUGAAAAGAUGUGAAGGAACCUUAAAUGCAUAUUGCUAAGUGAAAGAAGCUAGUCUGAAAAGACUCCAUACUAUAUGACAUUCUGGAAAACAGAAAACUUUUAUAAAGGCAAUAGAAUAGUGGUUGCCAGGGAUUUGAGGGAUGGAAGUAAGGGAGUAGUGAUGAAUAGGUGAAGCAGAGGGGAUUUUUAGAGCAGUGAAUAAUACUACAAUGGUGGAAACAUUCAUCAAAACCUAUAAUUGUACAACACAAAGAAUAAUCCUUAAUAUAAAAUAUGAACUUAAGCUAAUAAUGUAUCAGUACUGGUUCAUUAACUAUAACAAAUGUAACCACACUAAAGCAAAAGAUUUUACUAGAAGAAACUUAGAAGGGAGGGAAGUAUACAGGAACUCUGUAUUAUCUAAAUUUUUCUGUAAAUCUAAAAAUGUUCUUUAAAAAGGCUUAAUUUUUUAAAAAGUUUUAUGUAAUAUUUAGCUUUAUUAUUUACAAAGGAAUGAAUUUAACAGUAUUGUGUGUAAUUUUAUUUAAAUAUUUACUGACAAUUUAGAUGAUAUGUCCUAGGAAUAGACUAGGUCAGUCAUAAAGAGACUAGGUAAGGCAUGAAGCCAUUUCUGACCAUUUCCCCUUCCUUUACACCACAGUUUUUAGUCACUAAAAACUGUUAACCAUUCCUUCAACAUAUUUACAUAAUUCUCACUGUUUUUCUUAAAAAAAACAAAACCAAGCCUCUUUAGAUUAUAAAUGUUAGUUGCUGCAAAUUUGAAAAACAUAGAAAAGCAUAAAGAAAAAUAAAAAGUACCCAGAGAUAACCACCACUACAACAUCCCAGCUGUGCUACAUACAAGCUGGAUGACUUUGAAAAAAAAAAAAAAAAAAAGCUGGAUGACUUUGGACAAGUUAUCUGAUCUCUCUGUGCCUCAGUUUCCUGAAAUGGAAAAGUCUGGGAAUCAAAGACUAAGUCUGUCACUAAACCCCAGCAAAAUUUUAGAGUAGUUAAUUAAACAGAUGACUUACAUGUCUACACUUAAACUUCACUGGCCUAUAUAGGCAAGUCUAUAGAACACCAACUGGAUUUCAGAGAUUUGUUCAGAAUCUCCAAAUUGUCUGCAAACUUGAUCAUGGUCUAUGCUUGAUAUGAUUUUCUCUCCCAUCUAGAAAGCUUGGCUCAGUAACCUCUAAUCCUUACAUCGCCUUUAAAAACCUCAUUUACUUUUGUAAUACUGUCUGGUUGUGAAACCUUUUAUUAUGAAAACCAGUGUUCUGAAAAUGAUUCAGAAUUAAAAACAAAUUUUAAGUUCUAGAAAGCUUCUAGAACUUGUAUAUAAUUAAAUGAAUAAAUACUGACUAAAACUUUCUUAUUGAAAAACUCUACCCAAAAAUGUGCUAAUAAGGGCUUCCCUGGUGGUGCAGUGGUUGAGAGUCCGCCUGCCGAUGCAGGGUACACGGGUUCGUGCCCCGGUCCGGGAAGAUCCCACGUGCCGCGGAGCGGCUGGGCCCGUGAGCCAUGGCCACUGAGUCUGCACGUCGGAGCCUGUACUCCGCAACGGGAGAGGCCACAACAGUGAGAGGCCCGCGUACCGCAAAAAAAAAAAAAAAAGUGCUAAUAAGUAAAUCCAGAGUUUUGAAGAUGUGAGGUUUUAUAUUUGCAAAAAUAUGGUAUUAUUAUUAUUAUGGCACAGUUCAUUAAAUGAGUUUUGGGUUCCCAAUUCUAGCCACUUAAAUUAUACCUCCUUACAAGAUCAGAGGAAUUCAAGGUGCUGUUUUCUGAUGCAACCACUCAUCUUUGGAGAUUUAAGACCACCAUAGUGGUAUUUCACUACUGAUGCAAGUUUCUCCAAAGAUAGUAAUUUGCACCAAAAAGCAAAACAGGUCAUCAGAGGACCUGGGCUGUACAGGAGUUGGAAAGUCAUGUUACUUUGAGAAAAGCACUGCAAGAAGUAUGUCCUCAGGAAAGUCUGAAGACUUGAAAAGAUGACUGGAAAACAGGCACAAUUCUAUGGUUAGAGUCUGGAACUGGCUCCAAUGGGUGGUGUAUUUCAAACACUUGGAUAAAGCAAUCACUGGUCACUGACGCUAGCUGGCUUGUGUAGCAGAAAAGGCUUCCAUUAAGAAAAUUUUCUGGUGGUUAAGAAUCCGCCGGCCAAUGCAGAGGACACAGGUUCAAGCCCUGGUCCGGGAAGAUCCCACAUGCCGUGGAGCAACUAAGCCCGUGCGCCACAACUGCUGAGCCUGCACUCUAGAGCCCGCAAGCCACAACUACUGAGCCCACAUGCCACAACUACCGAAGCCCACACACCUAGAGCCCAUGCUCCGCAACAAGAGAGGCCACCACAAUGAGAAGCCCUCGCACCACAACAAAGAGUAGCCCCGGCUCACCACGACUAGAGAAAGCCCGCACGCAGCAACAAAGACCCAACGCAGCCAAAAUUAAAUAAAUAAAGCCAUCCCUCUCAA
Orcinus orca (killer whale) is the source of this 3208-nucleotide long non-coding RNA. RefSeq lists it as uncharacterized. NCBI's taxonomy places the organism in Eukaryota, Metazoa, Chordata, Mammalia, Artiodactyla, Delphinidae. The transcript is spliced from 3 exons. The record is from RefSeq and is a predicted model, not a curated record.